Molecule: ribosomal RNA, 253 nt
Filed under: uncultured bacterium
Lineage: Bacteria
Description: partial 16S ribosomal RNA
Rfam family: Bacterial small subunit ribosomal RNA
Source: RNAcentral
UACGUAGGGGGCGAGCGUUGUCCGGAUUUAUUGGGCGUAAAGGGCGCGUAGGCGGAAUGGCAAGUCGGUCGUGAAAUCCUUCGGCUCAACCGAAGAACGUCGAUCGAAACUGCCGUUCUUGAGGAUUGCAGAGGAGACUGGAAUUCCCGGUGUAGCGGUGAAAUGUGUAGAGAUCGGGAGGAACACCGGUGGCGAAGGCGGCUCUCUGGGCAAUUCCUGACGCUGAGGCGCGAAAGCGUGGGGAGCAAACGGG